This 346-nucleotide ribosomal RNA is filed under the name uncultured soil bacterium. RNAcentral's name for it is "bacterial SSU rRNA". It matches the Rfam family "Bacterial small subunit ribosomal RNA", at positions 26 to 367 of the family's 1533-position model. The record is from RNAcentral.
AGAGUGAACGCUGGCGGUAGGCCUAACACAUGCAAGUCGAACGGCAGCACAGUAAGAGCUUGCUCUUAUGGGUGGCGAGUGGCGGACGGGUGAGGAAUACAUCGGAAUCUACCUUUUCGUGGGGGAUAACGUAGGGAAACUUACGCUAAUACCGCAUAAGACCUUCGGGUGAAAGCCGGGGACCUUCGGGCCUGGCGCGGAUAGAUGAGCCGAUGUCGGAUUAGCUUGUUGGCGGGGUAAAAGCCCACCAAGGCGACGAUCCGUAGCUGGUCUGAGAGGAUGAUCAGCCACACUGGAACUGAGACACGGUCCAGACUCCUACGGGAGCGCGAGUGGGAAGUAGUUA